This 308-nucleotide long non-coding RNA is filed under the name Elaeis guineensis (African oil palm). RNAcentral describes it as "long non-coding RNA (EGUI_LNC057626)". The record is from RNAcentral. Lineage: Eukaryota; Viridiplantae; Streptophyta; Magnoliopsida; Arecales; Arecaceae.
CUUUUCCUCAACAACAAAAGACUGCUAACAAGUUUCACAAACAUUUAACAUAGUAAACGAUAGCCAUAAGGUAAUGAAAGUUACAGUGGCAAGUGCUAAAAGAAAAGAAAUGAAGAAACCCAUCGGACCAGUGAGCUCGAUUCCCCUCAUACUGACAACCAUUUACAAUAUGAAGUCACAGCAUGAAAUCACCAAAUUCAUCAAGAAGAAAUAAGAUAGCCCUUCGAAAUAGCUCAUGGAGGGAGGAGGAGAGGGUGGUGACUCCAUGAGCAGCCAUGGCGUGUGAUGACUUGUUGGGAGCAAAGCUU